AUAAUAAAUCAAUGAUUUAGCUAAAAUCUAAUAAAAAAAUGACAAAUAAGCAAAUUUACUAAAAUUAUGGAUAAUAUAAAAUAUACUUGAUUCUUUAAUACAAAAUUAAAAUAAGAGUUUUGUUAAAUCAAACAUAAGUUUGCCGUAUCGGUGUUACAAAAAACAAUCAUUAAUAGUGUCGUAGGAAUUAUGUAUUUCUUAUUAGCGAAUAAAAUUGAAGCAGAGUGUUGGAGGAUAGCUCAACGUAUAGACGAGAUUAUAGAGAUUGAUAUGGGAGCUGAGGUAACAGACACAACUGUUCCUCCGCAAAGAAACGCUCCUGUUAGACAUCCUGGAUAAAUGAAAGAGACAUAUAUGGACUUGGCUUUGUGUUAAUGGAUGAUGACUUUCCAAUGCUGUUUGGAGCAAGGGCUGAUAUACACGCACCAAAUCACCACUGCAAGCAGAAGCUGAAGGUUUGCUAUGGGCAAUGCAAGUGAUACUGAAGUUUGGACAUAGAGAGAUGGUCUUUCAAUCGACUGUGAACAACUGGUUAUACUCAUUCAAAAGGAGGAAGAUUGGCCUGCGUUGGAUUCGGAGCUCGACGAAAUACAGGCUGUAUCCAAAGAAUUUUCUGAACGUUCUAUUGCUUAUAUUCCUAGAUCUUUAAAAUUCCGUACGAAUAGCCUAGCAAAAGGUAUCCGAUCAUGCGCAUCUCGAUCAGCUUUUGUAAACCCUUUUGCACCAAAGCUCUGACUAUAUGGACUUAAAGUGAUUGAUUUAAAGUCUAAAAUCUAAUAAAAUAUGACACCUAAAAACCUAAAAAGAGAAUAAAGUUAAAAGUGAAACUAAAUAUCCCAGUGAACAAAUUUAUUAGAAGUCCAUAUUUAUAUGGAUGUUUAUAUUGGACAAACAAUUAUUUUUAGACAAUUAUAGAAUACUAGAAGUCUUUUCCGCGCUACGCGCGGAUUAUAUACUAUAAUUUCUUGUACAAAUGUUUUUUUAGUAUUCUGCUUUACUUGUUUUAUUUUCUUUUAUAUUUGAAGUACAUUUUCAUAUUUAUUCUGUAUGUAUAUAUCAUAAAAUUCACAUAAGGUUCCAACAUUUAGAGAAUGAAUUGUUUCAUUUAGAACUUUAACAAAGUUUUCGUAUGUUAUAAUUUUAUAUGACAUGGUAGUCAUUGUUACUCUAAGUUUUGAGUAGUUGUAUAUUCACUUAAAAUUAAAUAUUUUAAAUUGAAGUAACCCACAAGAAAAAGGAAAAUUAGAAUAUCAAUUUUACUUUUGGCAUAAUAGAGAAAAAGAAUGAUAGUAUAUGACUUUUUUUUGAGAAAGGGCAUUAGUAUGUGCCUUCAUGAGUUUGAAAGAUUUAUAAGCGUCAUUGUUUAUUCAAAAUGGUUCAAUUAAUUACCUAAUGAAUUACGUAAGGACUUGGUAUGGUCUAAAAAACUAUAAUUUUUUACUUUCGAUGUGUUUCUAUUAGGUGAAGUUGGUAUACAAUAUUUUUUGUUGGUAAUAGUGUUUCUUUAAAUAUUUUUUAAAAAGUUUUUGUAGACAACGUGCGAAUCUCUUUCCAAAAAAUCACAUAAAGAGUUUUGAUUCCUUCUUCGGUAAUAGAAAGUUAAAAACUUAUAUUUUUGGUAAAACAAAGUUACAAAAUAUUUUGGUAAUGGUUAUUUCAUAGUGAUUUUUUGAAUUUAUGAAUUUCACUUUUUGUUUGUUGUUGUGUCUCAUAUUUAUAUUUCUAUAGCUUUUAGUAAUUCUUAUUGAAACUGGUGUUAAUUAUUAAAUGUACACUAUUUAAAUAUAUGAGAAGUAUAGUAUUGUAAUAGUGUUUGGAAAAUUUUUGAUCCAAAAAACUUAAAUUUUCAUCAAAUAUAAAAUUAAAUUAUUAUUUUAAUUGUGUAUAUUAUAUUUUUUAGUUAUUUAUUAUCUGUCAUUUGUCAUUUAUGUUGUUUAAUACUUUUAUCUCCUUUUAUAUUUUGCUUUCUUUAAUUAUUAUGAUAAUGUUUGUGUAUUAUAUAUACAGACAUAAAAUUUAAUUUUCAUCAAACAAAAUAUAUGCAAUAGGAAGUUUGUUUAUUUUAGUUAAGAGUGUGAAUUCUUAAUAUUCAUAUUAUUAAUGUUAAAUAUUUAGCAUAAGUAAAUUUUUUUUAUCUUUUGGGCUUCUAUUUAAAAUGAUCCAUUAAAUUAUUACUUAUCAUAUUAAAACUAAUUAAUUAUGAUUUACUGCAUAUGUUUUGGUUAAAUUAUUUUAUUCAUUAAAUUCUUUAUUUCACCCACUUACUCAUAUCAAAUAAAUAAUGUAUUGUAUUUUUCUUUAUUGUAUAUGUGUUACUAAAAACAAAAUAUUAAGUGGCCAUCUUGAUAUAGAACCAUAGAUGAAAUUCUAUAUGGGAGUUGAGGAAACCAAAACUAUUAUUCGUUACUUAAGCUUAAAUCUUGAACAGUUUGAAUUGUUGAGUAUUAUUUUACAUUCCUCAAUACUUAAGUCAUUAUAUAAAGAUAAAAUUUAGCUUUUUCAAGAAAUAAUAAAAUUCUGCAUAGGAAUACAAAACCGGAAAAAAAAAACAAAUUGACAAUCUAUAAACUGUAAAAUCCCAUUGUUCUUCUCCGACAUUAGCAUGAUCAAACCAUGAAACAAAUAUUUCUUAUUCUUCAAGUGCAGCAUUCACCAGAUGUUUUUUUUCACCAGACGUUUCUUGUAAUACAAUUGUUCAAAAACAACAAAGUGAAUGUCUAUAUAAUUGAUUAUCCCCAAGCCUUGGGUGAAUGUUUACUUCUUGGCAUGUAUUAAACCAAUUUAAAAAAGCAUGACUAUAUUUACCUACUUACUCAAUAUACUCUUAUGGAAUACUAUUUGAUUACUACAAUAUAGAAUCACUAAAACUAAUCACCUUGGAGCUCAAAGAUGUAAAUUAAGAAAAUAUACAUUUUCUGUUAUCAUUUGAAGAAAAUAAUUUAUAAAAUAAUUUUAAGUUCUCAGAAUGUAUAUUACAUGAUUGUUUUUUACUAUGUUUAAUUAUAUGGAGUUUCAAAACCCUUAGAUGCUUAGCAUAUGUGUAAUAAUGUGUAUAUUUUAUAUUUAUAUCACAUGUUUAAUUUUCAGUUUGAUUUCUUAGUCAGGCUGUUAUAUACAAAACAUUGAAAGAUUUUAAACAAAACACCAAUUUGAAUUGGAAAGAACACGUAAUUGGAAUUCGAAGACUCUUUAUAUAGUUUUCAAAUUUGAUUUACAAAAUUUGUUUCCAAAAAGAAUCUAAUACCACUUGAAAUUAUAAUUCAACCAAGUCAUAUGGUCAUUAUAUAGAUUAAUAUUUGUCUUUUUCAUAAUGUAUAGAUCAUCGUGAAUGUGAAAUUUUCAUCUUUGUAUUUAUAUAUCUUAGCUUCAGUCCCUUAUUUAGUAAAGAACUUAUGGAAAAUUAUGACGAAGCUGACAUAUAUGCAAACAACUAUAAAACAUACACACGUCCCGUCAUGCCAUUGCAGCACACAAAAAAAACCUAUAUAACAUACAGACUGAUGUGUUUCAAAAAUAAACAUACACACUAACGUCAUGCCAUUGCAGCACUCAAAAACAAAAAAAGCAGCGAAGAGGAGUUGGUUCGUCGAAGUCAAAUAAGUUCCAAUAUAUAUAAUAGCUGAACAAAGAAAAAAAGUAUAAGUGCCCUUUUACAGUUAAAAAAAAAUUAAACUUAUUCCAGCAAACAGAAUUUGUCAUGUUGGAACAACAAUCUCUGACUCUGGCAGUAACUGAAAACUAAAUAACAUACCCAUUGUUUCUAACUGUAGUAGAAGACGUGAAGUGGUCUUUAUUACUCUCUUCAUGAAACUCUUCACCUCUUGGAUCCCUACACAAUGAUUUUGUGAUUCUUGAGCUUGAUUCUACGGAUUAUCAACUUUGCUUUCUGAUUCUCCGAGCAUUGACAGCAUCUUAUGAAAUUGAUUCCCAGCUAAUGCAUUUUCCUCUUCAAUCAGUUUGACUCCAUCACUUUAAGUUUUCCACAAGACACUUAUAUAUUCAUCAAAUAUAAAACAAAAUAAUAACCUGAUUUUUUAGUCCAAAAUCAUUAUUUAUGUUUUGCUAGUGAAACAGGGUAAUCAGGAUGACACAACACACCUCUUGACAUUACUUGAUAUGCAUCAGUUUCUUGGAACGCUAUUGCUACGUUAUCUCCAGCUCUUGCAAUGGUGAAACCCUGAGAGUCAUGCUCCAGAGAAAGCAAGAUUUCUUGAUCUCCCGAUGUCAUAACCAUUACCUAGCAGAAUGUUCCAGUAAUGUAAGCCAUUAGUUGAAGCAGACUCAUUAGUAUCAUUAAACAAUAUAUAAAGCACAUCCAUAAGAAAGUUUUUCGAUUUAAAGCUAAUGACAACAAAGAGAACUUGGAAACCUAUAACACCUAAACAUAACUUGUACACGAAGUAGUAGUUCUGUUUAAGAAUACUAAUGAAAAACAAACGAAGUGAGUGCUCUGUUAAACCCUUGUUGAGCGAAUCUGGUCUGAGUCAAACUCUCUCAAAGACUGCAACUUUAACUGUCUCUGUGUCUCUCUUCAUCUCUGUUGCAAACUUGUGUUCCAACUUUCCGACAUGUCGUUGUGUACAUCUAAUCUCCACCCUUCAUCUUCUCUAUCAAUCUCUUCUCCAACAACAACAACUCCCCAAAACCAUCUCUCAGCUCUCUCCGGUUCUCCACCUCUACUUCUCCUUCUUCCUCUGUUGCUCCUCUCAGUUUCGCCACCACCAACCACACCCUUAGCUCUCCUUUCCCUUCAAACCAUAUCCAAAGCCGCCAACUUUGGCUUCGUUGUGUCACGUCAGAGUCCAAGCCCUCUAUUUCAGUUGCUCCCGGCGGUAACGGCGGCGCUGAUAAGUUCCAGCGAUACCCUUUUGCUCGCUUAAUAUUCAGUGUACUAACUUCGUUUCAUUUACUGCAGAAGAGAGAGUGAUAGUUCUUGUAAUCGGUACCGGAGGGAGAGAACACGCCCUUUGUCACGCCUUGAAACGCUCUCCUUCCUGCAACUCUGUGCUAUGCGCGCCUGGAAACCCCGGCAUCACGAGCUCCGGAGACGCUACUUGCGUACCUGACCUUGACGUAUCAGACAGCUCAGCUGUCAUCUCCUUCUGUCGAAAACAGAAUGUGGGUUUAGUGGUUGUUGGUCCUGAAGUGCCUCUUGAUUUUGAUCGUAUCACUGAGAUGCGUUUCUACAGCCAACUUGAUUUUGAAAGGAUUUAGGUUUAGACGUAGGGUUUUAUAUAGGAGGAGGAUCAACGGGAGGUGAAACGAAAAAAUCAAGAAGAGUUUAAAGAUCAUCAAUGAUUGAUCAGUAGUGUCUCAAGGUAACUGAAAGUUCUGAGUUUUGGAGACGAAGACGAAGAGGAAGAAUCGGGAAGAUCAUCGACUCUCAAACUUUAGAGGAAAAACAAAGGUUUGGCAACGCAGGCCUGGUAUGGGCUGAGUUAAAAUGUUAACUAAACAAAAAAGUCCAGUUUUACUCUUCUUCUGUAGAAAGCGAUUCUGACGUGGCGAAAACAAACUUACUCAUUAGCUGAAUUUUUUUGAGGACGUGACAGCCUCACCAUUGAGUAUAUACUGUUUUUAGUAUUGUGAUAGUCUCGAAAAUCAAUCCUAAAAUAUAUAAUUAAAAAAAAACUAUUUAAACAAACCAUCAAAAUUUUUAAUAUUACACCAAAUAAGAAUAUAAAGACCAACUAUAUUCUCUUCAUGCAUAAUGUGUUGUGGUAAGAUUCAAAAAAACUAACUUACUAUGGGAAAAUUAGAUUUUUAAUUCUAAAUUUACAAUAAAAACAUAACAUUUUAUAAAACUAAACAAUUGCCAUAAUAGUACAAAAAUAUGAAAAAAUCAAAAUACUAUCCGCGCGUAGCGGGCAAGAACCUAGUCUACAAUAAAUAAAAGGGAUUAUUUUUAGAGUCUCUCAGCCCUUCCACAAAUAUUCACAGCCAAGCCAAUUAAAAGUGACCAACAUAAAUAAAAAAAUUCACAGCCAAUUAUAUCGACACAUCAUCAUGAAAUCAAGUGAAAUAAUUAAUCUGAACACAAUAUAUGUGGUCGAGAAAUGAGCCCACCGUUCUUAUGUAAAUGAGGCACAAUAUAUCAAGUACCUAUUUUCACCCGUAUAGCCAACGGCAAAAUCUAAAUGUUGACUGAGCUCAGAACGUCGCUGGUGAAACGGCUAUGGCCACAACUAUCUCAGUAUCUCUCAUGAAAGCUUCUUCUCUACUUCCAUAGGCGAAACGCAUCUACUCUCUUCUCAUCCCCACUAUCCAACCAAUAAAUAUCCUGAGGUCCGAAAUGACAGGGUCCUUCAUCGCUGCUCUUCAAUGAUGUCCAGUCAGCCCUAGGAGAUUCCGUACAAGUUGGUUUUCCGUGUUAUCCACUUGUGGGAAGCAGCAGGGAACACAUCAUCCUAAUCGGGCUUGAGUUGCUACUGAUUGAUGAACAUAGAUCAAUAUCCAAACCGGAGAAGAUGAAGAAGCUGCUGUGAAGCUGGAACCUACGAAGACGAGGCAUUCUCCACUACAGUAUAAAUGUAAAUACUAUAUAUUAUGUGGGGGAAGAGAAUUGGUUUCUAUGAUCAUUUGUACGAAUUUUAAUUUUCAACCCUCUCUCUCUGCCCUCUGUUGGCUUAACCUUCUUGGGCCGAGCAUGGAGACGUAUUAAAUUUCUGCAAUCGGAUGUUUACAUUCAAAUCUGUUUUAAUGCCUGCAGAUCAAUUGGUUAAUAUCAUUGAUAUGACUGGUGUGAUCUUAGUCCUAUGCAGACAGUGUUGGUGGUAUCAGUCUAUUACAGUCGACAUGCAAACAGUGGCGGAACCAGCUUAAUCUUCCACUAGGGUCAAUUUCAUUACAAACAUUAUUACAUGGGUCGUUAAGCUAAAUCUAUAGCAUUUUCUCAAUUUUUUCUUCAGUAUACAAGUAAAUUUUGUUAUUUUUACAAACCAUGUGGGUCAUAUGACCCCCCUGACCAAGAGAUGGCUCCGCCACUGCAUGCAAAUGAGGAGAUAAGAAGUUGCAAGAAUCUACAGCAAAUGGAGAUCCACACUCAUGUAUCUAUAGACAGCUAUCUGGUCAUGAAGUUCCAGGUAGAACUCUUUUUUUGACCGCUAAAAUACUUAAUCUCUUGCGGCCGGAAGCACCAGCUUGUUUGGCUUCGUGAACACGAGGUUCAGAUGAGAUUGUUGUGGUUUGGGUGUUGUCAUUGUGAACUUGUGGUUUAGAUGAGUUCUUGGCUCUUCACGAAGAAGUCUUCUACGUUACUUGCUCUCUUGCUUAGUUCAUCGCAAAGCUUCCGGAUAGCAUCGUCCUUUUAAGUUUUUACUCUUGUAUUUUAGAGUGUUUAGUUCUGAGUUCUUUUAAGGAGUGUUAGGAUUUGUUCUAUGUUUCUUUGUUGGUCGUAUGUAGUCCGUGUACGUUUUGGGUUCUUGGUCCUCCUGGUAGGCAGAACCGGCCCUAGACGGAAGCCAAACAAGCUGGUGCUUCCGGCCGCAAGAGAUUAAGUAUUUUAGAGGUAGAACUCUUUUACUCCCCUCUAUCCUCCGUAGACCUUCUCCCUUUGUGUAAGCCUCUUAAAUCAUCGUGACUCUCUAUUUUAUAUUUUGCAAAACUCUAUAUUUGAAGUUUCAAGGCGUUCUUCUCCAAAAUCAAAACUUCAAAUUUGAUUUAAAAAUUUAUAUGUAAUUUAUACUAUGGUCUUUAUCUUUGUCUUAACUAAUAUAAAUCUAUAAAACUUUUAUAAAUAACUAGCACAUAUAUAAAAAUAUGGGCAACUCUCCUAACUAGACCAUUUUCAAGUUUUUAUUACAAAAAUAUACUCUAAGGAGGAAAAUGACCAAAAUGUUUCAUUUAAUAGGUAAAAAUAUAUUAAUAUCCUUGAUAUAUAAAUACAAAUAAAUAAAUAAAUAAAUAAAAUUAAAAAAAAAUUAAUAAUUUUUUUAAUAGCUUUAUAUUAUGUGUUUUCAAAUUCUAACUUUUAUUUUUUUUUAUUUUUUUUUUGUUUUUCUUUUUGUAAUUCGAAAUACUUCUUGAAACUAUUUUUCAAAUUUUUAUUUUCAACAUUUUAAUAUUUUUUUUUAUUUUAUAAAAUUUAAAAGCUUAAUCCCAAAUUCUCACCCAUUUAACUCUAAACCCUAAGGUUUGGAUUAGUUAACCGGAUUAGUUAACCCAAGGGGUAUAAGUGUAUAUUUACGUUUUUAAUGAAACAUUUUGGUCAUUUAGAUCUUUAGAGUCUAUAUUUGUUGACAAAAAUAAUUUUACUGCUAUUCUAGGAUAUUUCUCUAAAAAUAUUACAUUAAUAUUAAUUAAUAAAAUCUUACACUAAAACAGAAAAUAUAAAUAGAAAUACAUAAUUAAAUAUUAAACUAGAAAAUACCACAUUAUUCCAUAAAACUAUUUCUGUAAUGCUCCAUUUCUCGUAUCAUAAAAAUUGUUUGGACAAUAUUUUAGAGGUUCUAGAGCAAAUUUACUUAGACUAUUAGUGCUGUUGUAAUAUUUAAAUUUGUGCAAUAAUUAUGUCUUCAUAUAUAUUUUUAAAAGUUUUUUAUUAAGUAUUUGGUAAUAUUCUUGUUGUCUGAUUCAAGUUUUUAAAUAUUAUAAAUCUAGUGACAAAAAAAAAAUUAUAAAUCUUAUUUUAAAAUUAUUAUUUAAUUUUAUGUGUAAAUUUGAAUUUACAAUAAUAAAUUUGAAAUAUUUAUGAUAUAUAAAAGUUUUAAAGAUUCAAACGAUAAAUAAAAAAAUUAAUUAAUAAUCAUAAAUGUGAUGUGUAGUUAAUUAUAAGGAUCAAAAUGCAAAUAAAAAGAUAAAACUUCAAAUUUAGAGUUUUGAGUAGUGAACCUUUAAAUGUGAAUAGUGAAAUUUUAAACAUGAAGUUUCACUUCAUAAAAUUCUAAAUUUGAAAUUUUGAAGUUCUUUUUUGAAGAGUGAAAAAAUCUAUAUUUGAAGUUAUAGAAUUACUUUUGGAAAUAUUUUAAUGCUGAUAUUUUGAGUUUUGGAAUACAUGUGAUUGUAGAAGUACAUCCAAACACCAGUUUGAGCAGAA
This is a long non-coding RNA of Brassica rapa (field mustard), 9034 nucleotides long. RefSeq lists it as uncharacterized. NCBI's taxonomy places the organism in Eukaryota, Viridiplantae, Streptophyta, Magnoliopsida, Brassicales, Brassicaceae. The record is from RefSeq and is a predicted model, not a curated record.